Molecule: ribosomal RNA, 433 nt
Filed under: uncultured bacterium
Lineage: Bacteria
Description: bacterial SSU rRNA
Rfam family: Bacterial small subunit ribosomal RNA
Source: RNAcentral
GUCGAGAAUCUUCGGCAAUGGGCGCAAGCCUGACCGAGCGACGCCGCGUGGAGGAUGAAGGCCUUCGGGUUGUAAACUCCUGUCGAGGGGGAGGAAGGCGCAAGCUUGACCGAUCCCUGGAGGAAGCACGGGCUAAGUUCGUGCCAGCAGCCGCGGUAAGACGAACCGUGCGAACGUUAUUCGGAAUCACUGGGCUUAAAGCGCGUGUAGGCGGAUGGGAACGUCGGUAGCUGAAAGCCCCCGGCUCAACCGGGGAAGUGGUGCCGAAACGACCCGUCUGGAGGGACGUAGGGGGACCUGGAACUUCCGGUGGAGCGGUGAAAUGCGUUGAGAUCGGAAGGAACGCCCGUGGCGAAAGCGAGGUCCUGGACGUCUACUGACGCUGAGACGCGAAAGCUAGGGGAGCAAACGGGAUUAGAAACCCUAGUAGUCC